Molecule: small nuclear RNA, 62 nt
Filed under: Dasypus novemcinctus (nine-banded armadillo)
Lineage: Eukaryota; Metazoa; Chordata; Mammalia; Cingulata; Dasypodidae
Description: U7 small nuclear RNA (ENSDNOG00000032150.1)
Rfam family: U7 small nuclear RNA
About the family: Animal histone pre-mRNAs are spliced by a different mechanism than nuclear pre-mRNAs and self-splicing introns. This processing involves the U7 snRNP, which contains only one RNA species: U7.
Source: RNAcentral
GAGUGUUGCAGCUCCUUUAGAAUUUGUCUAGUAGGUCUUCUGGCUUCUGCUGGAAGGUCCUC